AGCAAAUCACUCAGGUAUUCAGUACGACAUUGCUCACAUUGCUUCCAGUAUUUCUUGCCCACUUUUGAGUGGGCUUUUUUU
RNAcentral lists this non-coding RNA (81 nucleotides) under Enterobacter hormaechei ATCC 49162. Lineage: Bacteria; Pseudomonadati; Pseudomonadota; Gammaproteobacteria; Enterobacterales; Enterobacteriaceae. The record is from RNAcentral.